AUGAGAAAGCCUUCUUAAACUGGGGCCACUCUGUGUCAUGAACCAAAUAGUAGAGAUGUACUAAGAUUUCUCAAUUAUAAAUAGAUCUCAACUCUGCAAAAGGUCCAAUAAUCCAAACCUUUGCAGAAGAAGACCAUUCAGCCUGAGCAGCAGAAUACUCCAACUUAGCAUCCAAAAUCUCUUCGAAAACAAAAUGGAAGAUAAAGGAUUAAGCACUAAUAUGAGGAGAAUCCUCCUAUUGAUAAACU
This 248-nucleotide long non-coding RNA is filed under the name Nicotiana benthamiana. RNAcentral's name for it is "long non-coding RNA (NBEN_LNC002774)". Lineage: Eukaryota; Viridiplantae; Streptophyta; Magnoliopsida; Solanales; Solanaceae. The record is from RNAcentral.